RNAcentral lists this ribosomal RNA (253 nucleotides) under uncultured bacterium. Its description in RNAcentral is "partial 16S ribosomal RNA". It matches the Rfam family "Bacterial small subunit ribosomal RNA", at positions 524 to 776 of the family's 1533-position model. The record is from RNAcentral.
CACGUAGGGCGCGAGCGUUGUCCGGAAUUAUUGGGCGUAAAGAGCUCGUAGGCGGCCUGUUGCGUCCGCUGUGAAAGCCCGGGGCUUAACCCCGGGUCGGCAGUGGAUACGGGCAGGCUAGAGGUAGGUAGGGGAGAAUGGAAUUCCCGGUGUAGCGGUGAAAUGCGCAGAUAUCGGGAGGAACACCGGUGGCGAAGGCGGUUCUCUGGGCAGUAACUGACGCUGAGGAGCGAAAGCGUGGGGAGCGAACAGG